GCGCCGUGCGGUAGUCGGGGCGGUGGCUGCCCUCGGACGGCGGCACGGGCAGCGGGAUCGCCGGGCGGAUCGGGUUCAGGACCCGGUCGGCCUC
Molecule: transfer RNA, 94 nt
Filed under: Catellatospora coxensis
Lineage: Bacteria; Bacillati; Actinomycetota; Actinomycetes; Micromonosporales; Micromonosporaceae
Description: tRNA-Pro
Source: RNAcentral